Molecule: ribosomal RNA, 375 nt
Filed under: uncultured organism
Description: partial 16S ribosomal RNA
Rfam family: Bacterial small subunit ribosomal RNA
Source: RNAcentral
GUAGGUGGCAAGCGUUGUCCGGAAUUAUUGGGCGUAAAGCGCGCGCAGGUGGUUCUUUAAGUCUGAUGUGAAAGCCCCCCGGGCUCAACCGGGGAGGGUCAUUGGAAACUGGGGAACUUGAGUGCAGGAGAGGAAAGUGGAAUUCCACGUGUAGCGGUGAAAUGCGUAGAUAUGUGGAGGAACACCAGUGGCGAAGGCGACUUUCUGGCCUGUAACUGACACUGAGGCGCGAAAGCGUGGGGAGCAAACAGGAUUAGAUACCCUGGUAGUCCACGCCGUAAACGAUGAGUGCUAAGUGUUGGGGGGGUUUCCGCCCCUCAGUGCUGCAGCUAACGCAUUAAGCACUCCGCCUGGGGAGUACGGUCGCAAAGACUG